CAUUAUACCGCGAAACUGCGAAUGGCUCAUUAAAUCAGUUAUCGUUUAUUUGAUAGUGCCUGUCCUACUUGGAUAACCGUGGUAAUUCUAGAGCUAAUACAUGCUAAAAAUCCCGACUUCGGAAGGGAUGCAUUUAUUGGAUACAGAACCAACGCCCUUCGGGGCUUCCUGGUGAAUCACAAUAACUCCGCGGAUCGCACGGCCUUGUGCCGGCGAUGGUUCAUUCAAAUUUCUGCCCUAUCAACUUUCGACGGCUGGGUCUUGGCCAGCCGUGGUGACAACGGGUAACGGAGGGUUAGGGCUUGACCCCGGAGAAGGAGCCUGAGAGACGGCUACUACAUCCAAGGAAGGCAGCAGGCGCGCAAAUUACCCAAUCCCGACUCGGGGAGGUAGUGACAAUAAAUACUGAUCCAGGGCUCUUUUGGGUCUUGGAAUUGGAAUGAGUACAAUUUAAAUCCCUUAACGAGGAACAAUUGGAGGGCAAGUCUGGUGCCAGCAGCCGCGGUAAUUCCAGCUCCAAUAGCGUAUAUUAAAGUUGUUGAGGUUAAAAAGCUCGUAGUUGAACCUUGGCCCUGGCUGGCCGGUCCGCCUCACCGCGAGCACUGGUCCGGCCGGGGCUUUCCCUCUGGGGACCCUCAUGCCCUUCACUGGGUGUGCUGGAGAACCAGGACUUUUACUGUGAACAAAUCAGAUCGCUCAAAGAAGGCUCUCGCUCGAAUGCUUCAGCAUGGAAUAAUAAAAUAGGACGUGCGGUUCUAUUUUGUUGGUUUCUAGGACCGCCGUAAUGAUUAAUAGGGACAGUCGGGGGUGUCAGUAUUCAAUCGUCAGAGGUGAAAUUCUUGGAUCGAUUGAAGACUAACUACUGCGAAAGCAUUCACCAAGGAUGUUUUCAUUAAUCAGGAACGAAAGUUAGGGGAUCGAAGACGAUCAGAUACCGUCGUAGUCUUAACCAUAAACUAUGCCGAUUAGGGAU
This 973-nucleotide ribosomal RNA is filed under the name Dinemasporium morbidum. RNAcentral describes it as "SSU rRNA". It matches the Rfam family "Eukaryotic small subunit ribosomal RNA", at positions 72 to 1053 of the family's 1831-position model. Lineage: Eukaryota; Fungi; Ascomycota; Sordariomycetes; Chaetosphaeriales; Chaetosphaeriaceae. The record is from RNAcentral.